This 449-nucleotide ribosomal RNA is filed under the name Puniceibacterium sp. IMCC21224. Its description in RNAcentral is "bacterial LSU rRNA". It matches the Rfam family "Bacterial large subunit ribosomal RNA", at positions 1 to 466 of the family's 2925-position model. The record is from RNAcentral. Lineage: Bacteria; Pseudomonadati; Pseudomonadota; Alphaproteobacteria; Rhodobacterales; Paracoccaceae.
AAAUCAAGCGCGAAAAGGGCGUUUGGUGGAUGCCUUGGCAGUAAGAGGCGAUGAAGGACGUGAUACUCUGCGAUAAGCCAUGGGGAGCUGAGAAUAAGCUUUGAUCCAUGGAUUUCCGAAUGGGGCAACCCACCUGACAGUUUGUUAUAAUAGCCUUCGGGCUGCUUAUAAUGGGCUGAAACAGGUACUUAUUACCUGAAUACAUAGGGUUUUAAGAGCAAACCCGGGGAACUGAAACAUCUAAGUACCCGGAGGAAAGGACAUCAAUAGAGACUCCCUAGUAGCGGCGACGCGAACGGGGGACCAGCGAGUCCUGAGAGUGACCAGAACGACCUGGAAGGUCGGCCAUAGCGGGUGACAGCCCCGUAUGGGAAGCUCAAUGGAACGUAUUAAGUAGGGCGGGGACACGUGAAAUCCUGUUCGAAGAUCGGAGGACCACCUCCGAAGGC